AGGUAGCGAAAUUCCUUGUCGGGUAAGUUCCGACCUGCACGAAUGGUGUAACGAUUUGAGUACUGUCUCAACCAGAGACUCGGCGAAAUUGCAAUGUGAGUAAAGAUGCUCACUAUGCGCGACAGGACGGAAAGACCCCGGAACCUUUACUGCAACUUGAUAUUGAUGUUUGGUGUGCAGUAUGCAGGAUAAGUGGGAGACUUUGAAGCAACUACGCUAGUGGUUGUGGAGUCAUCCUUGAGAUACCACUUUCUUCAUAUUGAGCUUCUAACCUAGAUCCGUAAUCCGGAUCAGGGACAUUGUCUGGUAGGCAGUUUCACUGGGGCGGUGGCCUCCGAAAAAGUAACGGAGGCGCUCUAAGGUCACCUCAGCGUGGACGGCAAUCACGCAUUGAGUGUAAGUGCAAAAGGUGGCUUGACUGUGACACAUACAAGUGAAGCAGGUACGAAAGUAGGAACUAGUGAUCCCAUGGUUGCAUGUGGGUGCGCCAUGGCUCAUCGGCUAAAAGGUACUCCGGGGAUAACAGGCUUAUACCCCCCAAGAGUCCAAAUCGACGGGGGUGUUUGGCACCUCGAUGUCGGCUCUUCUCAUCCUGGGGCUGGAGCAGGUCCCAAGGGUUAGGCUGUUCGCCUAUUAAAGAGGAACGCGAGCUGGGUUCAGAACGUCGUGAGACAGUUCGGUCCCUAUCCGUCGCGCACGCAAGAGUUUUGAAGAAAGUUGUCCCUAGUACGAGAGGACCGGGAUGAACAAACCGCUGGUGUGCCAGUUGUUCUGCCAAGAGCACGGCUGGUUAGCUACGUUUGGAAAGGAUAAGCGCUGAAAGCAUCUAAGUGCGAAGCCCCUUCUAAGAUAAGAACUCUCACCGGAUUAACCGGGUAAGACUCCUUAUAUAACAUGAGGUUGAUAGGUCAGAAGUGUAAGUACAGUAAUGUAUGCAGCUGACUGAUACUAAUAAGUCGAGGGCUUGAACUG
This 972-nucleotide ribosomal RNA is filed under the name marine metagenome. Its description in RNAcentral is "bacterial LSU rRNA". It matches the Rfam family "Bacterial large subunit ribosomal RNA", at positions 1954 to 2925 of the family's 2925-position model. The record is from RNAcentral.